RNAcentral lists this microRNA precursor (62 nucleotides) under Pristionchus pacificus. RNAcentral's name for it is "mir-8364 microRNA precursor family". It matches the Rfam family "mir-8364 microRNA precursor family". Lineage: Eukaryota; Metazoa; Nematoda; Chromadorea; Rhabditida; Neodiplogasteridae. The record is from Rfam by way of RNAcentral.
UCUUCAUUUUCCCACAUUCUCUCAUCGGUCAGAGAGGCGAGAGAGUGUGUGAAAUGAAGAGA